Molecule: small nucleolar RNA, 102 nt
Organism: Cebus imitator (Panamanian white-faced capuchin)
Lineage: Eukaryota; Metazoa; Chordata; Mammalia; Primates; Cebidae
Product: small nucleolar RNA U13
Exons: 1
Source: RefSeq, a predicted model, not a curated record
AUCCUUUUGUAGUUCUUAAAUGUGAUGAUUGGGUGUUCACAUGCAUGUGUGAGAUAUGCCCCCUUGAAUCUUUUAUGACAUCAGUACAUUUCCCGUCUGACA